Molecule: non-coding RNA, 24 nt
Filed under: Arabidopsis thaliana (thale cress)
Lineage: Eukaryota; Viridiplantae; Streptophyta; Magnoliopsida; Brassicales; Brassicaceae
Source: RNAcentral
UAAAUCCUCGACAGCCGUUUCUCU